UCCUGUUGAUGAUUGGGUGUUUCGAUCUGCAAAAAGACCCCGGGAGAAAAAUAAAAAUGUUGCCGUACUAAAGCAGAGAGUAGAAAACUAAUUAUACUCUUUGUAUCCACCUGGAGUGCCUUGGUCCGCUAAGAGAUCGCUUGGGUGAUGUAGACGCUUAGCACGAACUUCCUGCUUCCUAGUGUCUUGUGUGCUGAUAGUUUAUGAGCUGAGCUCCCUGCUCCCUGAUUGAUUCCUGAGAAACUUGAAGAGAUAUCGUGGAUCGUAGUAUCAGAUUAAUUGACCCAGCAAGAGAUUUAGUAGGAAACGACGUGUACCACAUGAUUAUUUAAUCAAUACUCACUGCCUGAACAGCAAGUGCAAGUGAUGCUGGCCUAGGGUAUGGCCAUUGGCACCU
RNAcentral lists this long non-coding RNA (397 nucleotides) under Populus trichocarpa (black cottonwood). RNAcentral's name for it is "long non-coding RNA (PTRI_LNC000620)". Lineage: Eukaryota; Viridiplantae; Streptophyta; Magnoliopsida; Malpighiales; Salicaceae. The record is from RNAcentral.